Long non-coding RNA from Gasterosteus aculeatus aculeatus (three-spined stickleback), 856 nucleotides. Lineage: Eukaryota; Metazoa; Chordata; Actinopteri; Perciformes; Gasterosteidae. The record is from Ensembl.
GAAGUCUUUUGAACGGCUAGUCCUGUCCCACCUGAAGUCCCUCACCGACCCCCUCCUGGACCCCCUGCAGUUCGCCUACCGAGCCAACAGGUCUGUGGACGAUGCUGUCAACAUGGCCCUCCACUACAUCCUCCAGCAUCUGGACUCCCCAGGAACCUACGCCAGGAUCCUGUUUGUGGACUUCAGCUCUGCUUUUAACACUAUCAUCCCGUCUCUGCUGCAGGACAAACUCUCCCAGCUGCACGUGCCCGACUCCACCUGCAAGUGGGAUCACAGACUUCCUGUCUGACAGGAAGCAGCACGUGAAGCUGGGGAAACAUGUCUCAGCCUCUCGGACCAUCAGCACCGGUUCCCCCCAAGGCUGCGUUCUUUCCCCUCUGCUCUUCUCCCUGUACACCAACAGCUGCACCUCCAGUCAUCAGUCCGUCAAGCUCCUGAAGUUUGCGGAUGACACCACCCUCAUUGGACUAAUCUCUGGUGGGGACGAGUCCGCCUACAGGAGGAACAGAGCCCCACCCUCCCCCAUCACCCCGUGUGACUCCCCCGUCACUAUUGUGGAUUCCUUCCGUUUCCUGGGCUCCAUCAUCACCCAGGACCUCAAGUGGGAGCUGAACAUCAGCUCCAUCACCAAGAAGGCUCAGCAGAGGAUGUUCUUCCGGAGGCAGCUGAAGAAAUUCAACCUGUCAAAGAGGAUGACAAUGCACUUUUACACGGCCAUCAUCGAGUCCAUCCUCUGGUCCUUUAUCACCGUGUGGUAGCGUGUUAUCCGCUCUGCAGAGAGGGUCAUCGGCUGCAAUCUGCCGUCACCUCCAGGACUUGUUUGCUUCCACAACCCUGAAGCGAGUAAGAAAGAUAG